Molecule: ribosomal RNA, 415 nt
Filed under: uncultured eukaryote
Lineage: Eukaryota
Description: bacterial SSU rRNA
Rfam family: Eukaryotic small subunit ribosomal RNA
Source: RNAcentral
CAAUAGCGUAUACUAAAGUUGUUGCAGUUAAAAAGCUCGUAGUUGGAUUUCUGGUGGGAGCACGGGUCGGCCCUCACGGGUUGUACUGUUGUUGCGUCCUGCCGUUUCGGAGGGAAUGGCCUCGCUAUUAAGUUAGCGUGGUCGGGAACUCUGUCGUUUACUGUGAAAAAAUUAGAGUGUUCAAAGCAGGCCUUCGCUGUGAAUACAUUAGCAUGGAAUAAUAAGAUAGGACUUUGGUACUAUUUUGUUGGUUGCGCACCAAAGUAAUGAUUAAUAGGGACAGUUGGGGGUAUUCGUAUUCCGUUGUCAGAGGUGAAAUUCUUGGAUUUACGGAAGACGAACUACUGCGAAAGCAUUUACCAAGGAUGUUUUCAUUAAUCAAGAACGAAAGUUAGGGGAUCGAAGACGAUCAGAU